Unclassified non-coding RNA from Microcebus murinus (gray mouse lemur), 95 nucleotides. The record is from Ensembl. NCBI's taxonomy places the organism in Eukaryota, Metazoa, Chordata, Mammalia, Primates, Cheirogaleidae.
CUGAGAAGACUCCCCUCUUCUGCUGUGCAGUCGCUAACAUAGAAGAUCUGGUGGACUGUAAAACACUUUUCAAAGAUAUCCUUCACAGUCCAGCC